Molecule: ribosomal RNA, 587 nt
Filed under: Neothetalia nimia
Lineage: Eukaryota; Metazoa; Arthropoda; Insecta; Coleoptera; Staphylinidae
Description: partial 16S ribosomal RNA
Rfam family: Bacterial large subunit ribosomal RNA
Source: RNAcentral
UUAAAUGGCCGCAGUAUUUUGACUGUGCAAAGGUAGCAUAAUCAUUAGUUUCUUAAUUAGAAGCUGGAAUGAAAGGUUGAACGAAAAAAUAACUGUCUCUUUAUAAAUUUAUUUGAAUUUUAUAUUUAAGUUAAAAAGCUUAAAUUUUUUUAAAAGACGAGAAGACCCUAUAGAGUUUUAUAUAAUUUUUUAUAAUAAGUUUAUUUUUAAUUAUAAAAAUUUUAUUUAGAAUUAUAUUUAGUUGGGGUGAUUGAAAAAUUUAAUAAACUUUUUUUUUAUUAAACAUUUAUAUAUGAUUAAUUGAUCCAUUAUUAAUGAUUAAAAGAUUAAAUUACCUUAGGGAUAACAGCGUAAUUUCUUUUUAGAGUUCUAAUCGAUAAAGAAGUUUGCGACCUCGAUGUUGGAUUAAAAUAUAGUUUUGGUGUAGCAGCUAAAAUUUUAGGUCUGUUCGACCUUUAAAAUUUUACAUGAUCUGAGUUUAAACCGGUGUAAGCCAGGUUGGUUUCUAUCUUUAAAUAAUUAAAAUAUUUUAGUACGAAAGGACCAAAUAUUUAAAAUAUUUUUUAAAUAUUGAAUAAUAGUAAUUA